RNAcentral lists this transfer RNA (73 nucleotides) under Listeria monocytogenes. RNAcentral's name for it is "tRNA-Gly". It matches the Rfam family "tRNA". Rfam says of the family: Transfer RNA (tRNA) molecules are approximately 80 nucleotides in length. Their secondary structure includes four short double-helical elements and three loops (D, anti-codon, and T loops). Further hydrogen bonds mediate the characteristic L-shaped molecular structure. tRNAs have two regions of fundamental functional importance: the anti-codon, which is responsible for specific mRNA codon recognition, and the 3' end, to which the tRNAs corresponding amino acid is attached (by aminoacyl-tRNA synthetases). tRNAs cope with the degeneracy of the genetic code in two manners: having more than one tRNA (with a specific anti-codon) for a particular amino acid; and 'wobble' base-pairing, i.e. permitting non-standard base-pairing at the 3rd anti-codon position. Lineage: Bacteria; Bacillati; Bacillota; Bacilli; Caryophanales; Listeriaceae. The record is from RNAcentral.
GGAAGUAGUUCAGUGGUAGAACAUCACCUUGCCAAGGUGGGGGUCGCGGGUUCGAACCCCGUCUUCCGCUCCA